Molecule: small nucleolar RNA, 133 nt
Organism: Psammomys obesus (fat sand rat)
Lineage: Eukaryota; Metazoa; Chordata; Mammalia; Rodentia; Muridae
Product: small nucleolar RNA SNORA17
Exons: 1
Source: RefSeq, a predicted model, not a curated record
ACGGCCCCUAGAGGCACUACAGGUGUGGUGCUGUGUCACCUGUGUGGCAGAAGGUGGCUGAGAGGAGAGAGGCUCUGUCUACACCCCAGGUGUUCUGACCUGGGGACACCUGAAUGAUUAGUAGCCUAUGGUU